RNAcentral lists this long non-coding RNA (305 nucleotides) under Elaeis guineensis (African oil palm). RNAcentral describes it as "long non-coding RNA (EGUI_LNC011590)". Lineage: Eukaryota; Viridiplantae; Streptophyta; Magnoliopsida; Arecales; Arecaceae. The record is from RNAcentral.
UCAAUCACUUCUACAUAUUUUCCUUCGGCCGACACCUACCUUCUCAAAACUGGUAUUUAUAGCACCGAAAUGGUGGCGAGUGGCUCCGAAGCUGUCCGCAAGUUGCCCCGAGGCAUGCCACGCAUGGACACCUCGCUUAUAGCUGCAUUGGCAUCACCCGUCCAUGGUUUUGAGCUAUUUUCCAUACAAUCGAUCCUUGGUAGAGAUGUCGGAAUCACUUGCUGCCCAAUCUUCCUUCGAGCGGUACUGAGGCCUGUCGGCUUACUUGAUCUCUGUUGACUUCGGACCAACUUUGAUGCGAGACU